This 319-nucleotide long non-coding RNA is filed under the name Solanum lycopersicum (tomato). RNAcentral's name for it is "long non-coding RNA (SLYC_LNC001370)". The record is from RNAcentral. Lineage: Eukaryota; Viridiplantae; Streptophyta; Magnoliopsida; Solanales; Solanaceae.
GAGCCAUUGAUGAAGCAGAUCCAAGGAGGUCAACUGAGAUGAAGAGGAUGAUAAAUGCUCUAUAAUUUUCACACUCAUCGGUAGUAGUGUUUAUAUGCCCUUAUAAUGAGUACUUGGAUUUACCUCCUCGUCUAUUAGCUCCACAUGUAGGAAACUUACCUCCUCGUCUAUUAGCUCCACAUGUAGGAAACUUACUUUUCUUGUGUGUUGUGGUCAUGAAAUGGCAAAUUUUAUCUAUCUACACAACAUUCCUGACAUCCAUGAUGUCAAACAAACUCUAUGAACUAGUUUAUUAGGAUGAAAUGGAGAUGGCAAUUCU